CAAGCACAGACUAGGCCUGCAGGCCCACGUGCUUGGAUCCUGCUUAGUCAGUAGCAGAUGGGUCAGUGGACUUCCCGGAGGUGACUAUGAUCCUGGAGCCUCCUCAUUGAGCGGGAUGCCCUGAAGCCCGGCUCUCCUUUGACUGAACGACUCAUCCGAAAGGCAUCAUCCUUGCAUCUCAUGGAGUAAAACCUUACUUGGGGGAACUGGCUUUCUUCCCCCUUCCCGAAGAGUCCCAGUCUCACAGAUGUCCAUUUGAAGGAAGCCACAAUGCCCAGCUGAACCAGAAGCCAAAUUCUAGCUCCUGGCCCCUAGAAAAGGAAAUCUCCACAGAGGUCACGAGCUCCUUCACCAUCCUCCGCCUGCUACCACACUUCCAUUUAAGAAGGGACACUCACAUCUUCAGUGUCAGAGAACGGGUCUUCUCCUUUGUGAAUUAUCUGCUGUGAUUUGUAAGCACCCAGCCCCAUCUUGUCUAGAGAAGGGUGGCCUCUGGGCUCCAGGAGAGUCUGCAUCAUCCUGGGAGGCCCCAUUCUGGCAUCUUCAGGUUAGGCCCAUGGUGACCAGAGGAGAAGACAGGCUCAAGGUCCUCCUGUCUGGCAUCAAAAUAGCCCCUCCAUCAUUAGGGCAGCCUGACCAGUGUGGGACUGUCUCCUAUGCUUUGAUGCAGGCUUUUUUUUUUUAAAUCAACUUUUCCAGGGAAAUCAAUAUCAACUUGAUCUUGAGCACAUCCCAGACUGCUCUAAGGCUCCCUUUCCUUCUCAGUAAAAUGAGGCUUGUCACCCUCCUGCCACCUUCUCCCUUGUGGGGUUAGCUGUGGAGUUGUGAUGAGGCUGGUGCUUUGUCAUCCCCCUAUGGAAAUGAUGAGCACACUGGAGUUCCAGCCGACUUCAUGGGUGCUCACCUCUCAACAAUCAGAUCAGUCAAGCUUUCAGCUUUCCAAGGUCCCAUUUGUGUGCAGGCCAUGAUGCUUUGGGAGAAAAUCCUUUUCAGUAUCUCUUCUCUGAUCAUCAAGAAAUACAGGGUCAGUAAAUACGAGGUCAUGGAAUUGGGGGGAUACCAAAAAUUCAGGGCCCCCAGAAAGUUUCACAUGGAGUAUUUGAGCAGGGAUCAGAAAGAAACGAGAUUUUAAGAAGCAGAGGUCAGGAGGGAUGGCCCAGAGUGGGAGAUGAAUUAUUGGGUGAGGAUCUACAGAAAAGCCAGUUAGACUGGAUUGUGUGAAGGGAGUCAUGUAUACAAUAAUUCUGUAUAAAUGUAUAAGAAACUAAAGACGAUUGAAUGGAUCCUAGAUUGAAGGAGGAGGACAUUAGAGGCAGACAUUGCAAUAGUCCAGGUAGGAGGUGAUGGGGGCUAAACAGGGAUGGUGAUUCUAGGUGUGGAGAGAAAGUGAUGGGCAUGGGACAUUGUGGAAGCCGAAGCAGAAGUCCUGACAAGAGAAUCGCUAUGGGGGUGGAGGGUCUUGAAGAGUUAAGGAUGACACCAAAGUUGUUGACCUUUAUCACUGGGAUGACAGUGGUGAGGAGGAGAAGAAUUUUUUUUUUAAUUUCUUUUUUUUGAGGAAGAUAAUUCAGGGGUAGCACCAAUGAAGUCAAAGUCACAAAAGAUAAAAUUUUGGACAUAUUUUGCCUGUUUUGGACAUGUUGAGUUUGAGAUGCCCAGCUCAAAAUCCGUGACCUCUCAUCUCAUGAAAAAUUGCAUUAAAGAAUCUGAACUUGGGCCAAGUGGAGGUGGGGGGGUAUAAGGAAGUGGGUAGUUAUAGGGGAAGAAUAGGAUCCAUUUCUUUCAAAUAAACCAAACUGCAGUGCUGCUUUUAAAAAAAUGAAUGUAACAGAAUUUGAGGAAGAGGAAAACAACUUACCAAUUAUAACUUUAAAUGGACUAAACUCAACCACAAAAUGGAAGAGAGGCUAGAUGAUGAGACAGAACCCCAUAAUUUUCUGCAUAGAAGAAACUUAUUUGAAACAUAAACAUAUAGAGUUAAAUUGAAGGGCUGCAAUAAAUUUAUUAUGUUUUGAUUGAAUCAAAAGUGCAGGAGUUAAAACCAUGAUUUCAAGUAAGACUAAAUAGAUCAAAAUAGAUGCUCUCAAGAGAAACAAAAGGAAAACACAUUAUGCUUUAAAUAGAUUCAGAGACAGAAUUAAAGAACAAGCCACAGAGAUAAUUUUUAAAAGUAAAUUAAAGGGGAUUAGAAAAAUGAAACAACAUAGUAAAUAUAAAUCUAUGUGCAUAGAAUGGUGUAGCAUUUUAGUUCUUUGGGAAAACCCUAAAAUAUAAUGAUAUUUUGAUAGGAAGAAAAUGAUUUCAAAAUUCUCAGGACUUUCUAAGUUUAAAAAGAAAGAUAGAAAUCAUAUAACAUUGAAAUAUAGAAUAUAACAGUGAAAAAAAGAUAGUUUUGAUAUGAUUCUGGUAAUUAUUGAAUGGUUAUAUUAAAGAGCAUACUUAUGCCAUACCUAUGAAAACAGUGAAUGCUUGGGCAUAAAUAACUCAUAAUUAUGUGUAAAAUGGAGAAAUAUUAAGAGCUUUCUUAAUAGACAUGCAAUAAAAAUAGUCACCAGGGAAGGGAAUAUGAAUAAAAGAUAUAUUCCUAAAUGGAGAUAAUUUUAUCCCAAUAUUCAAUAUGUGGAAUGAUAGAGCCUAGAAAGAAAAUUGUGGAGCUCAAUCCCAAUAAAGGAAAAACUGAUGUGAAAAUGUUCAGUAAAAAUAUGGCCCAGGACAUUAAAGCAAUCUAUAGAAAUAUUCAGUGACCAAUUUGAUAAUACUGGGGGCAAGAAUGAAUUGUUUCUGUAUUCUACUUUCACUUUAUACAAUUGACCUAAAAAAAUCUAUUUUAAAGCAAACAUACUUUUUGUCAAAGUGUAUUUCCACAAUGAUCAACUUGGAAAGUCUUGGUUCUUCUCAACAGUUCAGUGAUCCAAGGCAAUUUCAAUAAACUUUGGAUAGAAUAUGCC
RNAcentral lists this long non-coding RNA (2948 nucleotides) under Sarcophilus harrisii (Tasmanian devil). Its description in RNAcentral is "lncRNA (ENSSHAG00000029576.1)". The record is from RNAcentral. Lineage: Eukaryota; Metazoa; Chordata; Mammalia; Dasyuromorphia; Dasyuridae.